RNAcentral lists this long non-coding RNA (373 nucleotides) under Carica papaya (papaya). Its description in RNAcentral is "long non-coding RNA (CPAP_LNC013259)". The record is from RNAcentral. Lineage: Eukaryota; Viridiplantae; Streptophyta; Magnoliopsida; Brassicales; Caricaceae.
CCAAGGCGGUAGUGCCCAGGUUAGUGCGUUGUAGGCUAGGUUGUCGGCGCAUAGGCCUGAUGGCCCAUGCGCAGACAUACUACACACAGGCACCAGGCGCGCAGGGCCUAUCCGUGUAGGCUUGUUGCCCGGAUAGUGCACGCACAGUGUGCGGUGCCUGUUUGCGCAUGAGGUGAUGAGCGGACAGCCAGCCAGCGCGCGGUAAAACGGCCGCAGGACCAGUCCCUGCACCAUGAGUGCGGAUGGGACAUGCGCAGUGUACACGUCUCGAAUCCACUUUGUGUGCGUGCACUCGUGCGCAGUGCAUGGCAUCCACACAGGCGGCUCUACUUCCCCGCAGGAUUUCUUCCCGUUUUGCCGUUUUUCUUAUUUU